AUUUUCCUUUCACUUUCUCUAGAAGCUUCUCCAAUUUCUAACCCUAAUUUGUCUCCCUCUCAACUCUUCUUUCGACUUCUCAACUCUUCAAUGGCGAAUGGACCUGUUCUUUACUGUUUUCUGUUUCUCUACAUCUCUGCGAAGGUUUCCUGAAGAUUUCAGUUUGUCUCCGACGACCUGCGCAGGUUCUUCGUCAUGGUUUAAGGCAAAUUUUAAUGGCCACUCCUUCUCUUCUUUAUUCUUUGCUGUUUCUCUAAACCCUUUAAAUCUCUCUCUGAAGCUUGGCUGAAGAUUUGUCUUUCUUUCCGGCGACCUGCGCAGACAUAUGAUCUAAUAACAACAACUGAAACAGUAGAUUGGACAUGUCAAGUCCAAAUUGUGGACAUGAGUGGAGGAAGAGUAAGCCCAGAGAAAAAACUCAGAUUCCAAAAUCUAAUUUUCGAAGACGAAGAGUGCAAGAGUUGAAGUUUCAUCAACUUCAUAUGGAAGACCAAUUCGCAAAUUCUAUUGGGUACUUGAUGAUGGAGAAACUAUAAUUGAACGUGUCAACCUUACUGACGAGCAUGAAAAACCACUGCCACCACCGACCAUACUGAAAGAUCACAUAGUUACUAUGUUUUCUGCUCCAACUACAGAAAUUGAUAUACUAGAUGUCGUUCUUCAUUGUGGCCCCUUAAAAUAUGCUGGCGCCUUCAAAAUAAGUGUCGCGAGAAUACUAUUGUAACUGUAACUGGAUCGAAAAGAGAGUGGACUGAGCAUCUUUCCAAUUUCAAAGAUCUAUCAAAGCCCAUUUGAAAUGAAGACCCCUGCUCUGCUUUCAAACUUUCCAACUGCCAUAGAUGCUCCAUUGCUUUCAGGAAGAGACAAUUUCUUCUCACUUUUAUAGAAAGACUUUGGAAAAGUUGAAGGAGCGGAACUCCAAAUUAAAAUAGAAACGGCUGCAGAAUUUCCUGUAAUCCUUGCAAGAAGUUUAUUGCUUCAGAGUACAUUCAAUUCAACGAUUCACAUAAACCCUACUAAUCCACAGGCAUUGGAGCUCAUCAACUGGACAAAAAGAAACAAAGACAUGCUUCAAGCUUUGCAUUGGAGAACUUCUCCGGGUCAUCGACGUCUCUCACAAUGGCUCCAGCUCAACAAUAAUUUAUCACUAUUGAGGAAAUUUCAUUUGAAACAAUU
Molecule: long non-coding RNA, 1176 nt
Organism: Solanum tuberosum (potato)
Lineage: Eukaryota; Viridiplantae; Streptophyta; Magnoliopsida; Solanales; Solanaceae
Exons: 6
Source: RefSeq, a predicted model, not a curated record